RNAcentral lists this ribosomal RNA (434 nucleotides) under uncultured Lachnospiraceae bacterium. RNAcentral describes it as "bacterial SSU rRNA". It matches the Rfam family "Bacterial small subunit ribosomal RNA", at positions 341 to 792 of the family's 1533-position model. The record is from RNAcentral. Lineage: Bacteria; Bacillati; Bacillota; Clostridia; Lachnospirales; Lachnospiraceae.
ACGGAAGGCAGCAGUGGGGAAUAUUGCACAAUGGGGGAAACCCUGAUGCAGCGACGCCGCGUGAGUGAAGAAGUUAUUCGUAAUGUAAAGCUCUAUCAGCAGGGAAGAAAAUGACGGUACCUGACUAAGAAGCCCCGGCUAACUACGUGCCAGCAGCCGCGGUAAUACGUAGGGGGCAAGCGUUAUCCGGAUUUACUGGGUGUAAAGGGAGCGUAGACGGCUUAGCAAGUCUGAUGUGAAAGGCAGGGGCUCAACUCCUGGACUGCAUUGGAAACUGUUAAGCUAGAGUGCCGGGGAGGUAAGCGGAAUUCCUAGUGUAGCGGUGAAAUGCGUAGAUAUUAGGAGGAACACCAGUGGCGAAGGCGGCUUACUGGACGGUAACUGACGUUGAGGCUCGAAAGCGUGGGGAGCAAACAGGAUUAGAUACCCUGGUA